This 592-nucleotide ribosomal RNA is filed under the name fungal sp. CMU26. RNAcentral describes it as "eukaryotic LSU rRNA". The stretch from base 173 to 326 matches the Rfam family "5.8S ribosomal RNA". Lineage: Eukaryota; Fungi. The record is from RNAcentral.
GGAAAGGGCUUUCGGCGCACCCAGAAACCCUUUGUGAACUUAUACCUACUGUUGCCUCGGCGCAGGCCGGCCUCUUCGCUGAGGCCCCCUGGAGACAGGGAGCAGCCCGCCGGCGGCCAACUAAACUCUUGUUUCUUUAGUGAAUCUCUGAGUAAAAACAUAAAUGAAUCAAAACUUUCAACAACGGAUCUCUUGGUUCUGGCAUCGAUGAAGAACGCAGCGAAAUGCGAUAAGUAAUGUGAAUUGCAGAAUUCAGUGAAUCAUCGAAUCUUUGAACGCACAUUGCGCCCUCUGGUAUUCCGGAGGGCAUGCCUGUUCGAGCGUCAUUUCAACCCUCAAGCCUGGCUUGGUGAUGGGGCACUGCUCUCCUGAGGGAGCAGGGCCUGACAUCUAGUGGAGAGGUCGUUGGACCCCUGAGGUAACAGUAAUAUCAAUUUCAGGAAUGCCCUGGGGGAGACUUGACUUUAGUGCCCCAACUCCUGAAAAGUUGACCUCGGAUCAUGAAUGAAUACCCCUUUAACUUUAGCAUCUCAUUUAGCGGAGGAGUUUUUGUUGGGUUCCAGCGGGCCAUCUUUUACCCUCCAGUAAUUUA